UCUCCCCACCGGCUUGCCCCAUGGAUGAGCUCCUCCCUGCCCUAGAGACCUCCCCUUGCUCCGGUCCUUUUGGCCGUCGAUGAAUUCGAGGCUGCCUUCGAGCGGUUCGACGAGGACUCUGAGGCAAAGCAAAUCAUCGGCGGCGCGUGCGGGCAGGAGGCCCCGAGGCGCCACCGAAAUCGGCACAAUACAGGGAUGUGCGACCCCGACCGUGCGGCAAGUGGGCGGCCGAGAUCCGUGGUACCCUGUCAAGGGAGUUCGGGUCUGGCUCAGCACAUUUCCCUCCGCCGAGGCCAGCACACAUCGUGAUCACCACUUCCUCUCCAUUUGCCGAGGCUGGCGUGGCGGCGUCCGGCGGGCUGGGUCGGCGGCGAGAUAAUCUGGGGCGGGAGCGCGGCGACACGCCUAAUUCAACUCGACUGCUGCAUCUUGCAUCGCCGCGCUGUGCCUUCUCCAUUUUCAGGUGCGUCUUCAUCAGGUAAGUGUUGUCUGCUAGGUUGUCCAUUUCAUCAGUAUUUUUUCUUUUUGGUUCUAAUGUUGUUUGUCAUGCUGAUUCGUUCAUGUUGUUUUGUCUCCUAGGUCUUCUGUCACCAUGGAUCAACAGCGGUGUCGCCAAGAGAUUUGUGUGGAGAAUCUGCCUGUUCUAGCCUCUGGAAGUUUGUUUUAACCACUCAUGUGAAGCACCCAGUUGGAUAACCAAAAAAAGUCACGCAUCAGAUCGGAGCCGAGAACUUGAACUACCGCGACGACACCUUUAUAUUUUAUUGUGUGGCCUCCGGUAAUGUCCCAAAGAUGGAGGCGGCGAUGUGCCGGCUCAGGAGAAUAAGUGACCCCUAGUGUUAUUAUACUCAUCACCCCUCCACCGAUCCAUGAACCUGCGAGGAUCAUGUCCCAAAUAACCACCCUUACCUUGUAGAUAUCUGCUUUACUUAGCUUUACUAUUCAUGGAGAGUGCUCAGUUCUUUUGUCAUCAGAAUAGGAUCCACUAGAUAUAUGUAUUCUGAUUCCCCUGCUGGUUUCCUUUUGCUAAAUGACAGAGAUAUAUAAAAAGAAACAGUUCCUUUCUUCAAAUGAGGCGUGAAUAAAGCAUCCUUUAUCGAAAAAAAAUGAGCGUGAAUAGCUGAAGUAAUAUGUCUCCUGAAGAUAGUUCUGAAAGUGCAGAAGUCGAUGCUCAUCAUCGUCUUUUUCAAUUUAUGCUAACACCAGUUAAUCUCAUCAUAUUCCUAUUGUAAUUAUCAGGGGGAGAGAGGAGGACAAAAGAAUGACAACCUUUGAGGAGGAGGUGAUGUGUACGAUGUGCAGAAAAACGAAGAUUCAUGUCAGAGUCAGAGCCUGAGAGGUGCAUCAUGAGUUCAUCAUUCUCUCUAUCUUAUGUUGCUCCUGCCCGGCUCCUCAAGCAAUCAAUGCCAUAUCGUGACAUCCCUGCUCUAUUCUCCGGGGGAUUCAAUCGCAUGACCAUCUGGAUCGCAUUUGAUCCGUAAAUCUCAUGAAAGAAGAAUAGACUGCCUCUUUGACGACAUGGUGAGCCCCAGUGCUACCCCCUCCGCGUUGUGUUUGCUGAAGCUGUGGAGGUUCUUCGUCGUCCUUGACGGCACAACUCUUCUCCUCGACAUCAUGGUAUUGGCUCUUUUCUGCCAUGGCACUCCGUUGGCACUGAACAACACGAGGCAGUGGUGCCAAAAUAAUCGCUUGCGCCCGCGCUCAAGUCCCACUCCGCUGGAAAAGGCGUUUGCAUGUAACUACCAAGUAUUGCUCUGCUUUGGUAUUUGAUUGAUCAGUGUCCCUGGAUUUGCCGUUUAUGGUGGAUGUGAAAGGGCAAGUUACUCGAUGACUUGAUGGAGCCAAGUCACUGGAUCUAUACUCUAACUGCGGCAAUAAUUGUAAAUAUCAAUCAGUAGACGGUAUGUGGCGAGUGUUCUUUCAAAUAGUGGCAAUGCUUCUUUUCUUUUCCCCUUAAUUCAUAUGUAUAUAUAAAGUCAAUGGUUCAGUCUUUUGGGGUUUCUAUCUUCUUGCACCUAAUAGGAGUCUCCUGUCAAAAGAAAAGAGAAUACGGCUGUACAUUUAUAUUGCACUUUCGUUGUUGAUGUUGUGAUACACUGAAUACUGUGCAAACUUUGAGUUUUCAGAUAUCAGAGGAGAGGUUGAUUUUCCUGUGGCAA
Lolium perenne is the source of this 2159-nucleotide long non-coding RNA. RefSeq lists it as uncharacterized. The record is from RefSeq and is a predicted model, not a curated record. NCBI's taxonomy places the organism in Eukaryota, Viridiplantae, Streptophyta, Magnoliopsida, Poales, Poaceae.